CUACACGUAAGGAGUCGUCGGCAGCGUCAGAUGUGUAUAAGAGACAGGUGGAGGACCGAACCAGUUGACGUUGAAAAGUCUUUGGAUGACCUGUGGGUAGGGGUGAAAGGCCAAUCAAACUCGGAAAUAGCUCGUACUCCCCGAAAUGCAUUUAGGUGCAGCGUAUUAUUAGUUUUAUAGAGGUAGAGCUACUGAUUGGAUGCGGGGGCUUCACCGCCUACCAAUUCCUGACAAACUCCGAAUGCUAUAAAAUGAUGUAAUGCAGUGAGGGCAUGGGUGCUAAGGUCCAUGUCCGAGAGGGAAAGAACCCAGACCAUCAGCUAAGGUCCCAAAAUGUAUGUUAAGUUGAAUAAACGAGGUUGGAUUGCAUAGACAGCUAGGAUGUUGGCUUGGAAGCAGCCAUUCAUUUAAAGAGUGCGUAACAGCUCACUAGUCGAGCGAUCCGGCAUGGAUAAUAAUCGGGCAUAAACAUACUACCGAAGCUAUGGACUUGUAAAAGUGGUAGGGGAGCAUUGUAGUGUCGUCGAAGGUGAAGCGUGAGCUUUGCUGGAGAAGCUACAAAAGAAAAUGUAGGCAUAAGUAACGAUAAUGCGGGCGAGAAACCCGCACACCGAAAGACUAAGGUUUCCUCAGCUAUGCUAAUCAGCUGAGGGUUAGUCGGGACCUAACGCGAACCCGAAAGGGGUAGUGGAUGGACAACAGGUUAAUAUUCCUGUACCUGCUCACGCUAAAAGUGACGGAGGCGAAAAGUUAGUGCGCACAGACGGAAUUGUGCGUUGAAGCCAGUGGUAACACGGCGAUAGUACACUAAGGCUUCGGCUGCGGUGAUAAUCUAGCAAAUCGACUUCCAAGAAAAGCAAGUGAAGCAGCCCGUACCCUAAACCGACACAGGUAGUUGGGAUGAGAAUUCUAAGGUGCUCGAGAGAUUCAUGGCUAAGGAACUAGGCAAAAUCGACCCGUAACUUCGGGAGAAGGGUCGCCCAUCUUCGGAUGGGCCGCAGUGAAGAGGUCCAGGCGACUGUUUAUCAAAAACACAGGGCUCUGCUAAAUCGAAAGAUGAUGUAUAGGGCCUGACACCUGCCCGGUGCUGGAAGGUUAAGUGGAGGGGUUAGCUUCGGCGAAGCUCUGAAAUGAAGCCCCAGUAAACGGCGGCCGUAACUAUAACGGUCCUAAGGUAGCGAAAUUCCUUGUCGGGUAAGUUCCGACCUGCACGAAUGGUGCAACGAUCUGGACACUGUCUCAGCCAUGAGCUCGGUGAAAUUGUAGUAUCGGUGAAGAUGCCGAUUACCCGCUGUGGGACGAAAAGACCCCGUGCACCUUUACUAUAGCUUAGUAUUGGUUUUGGAUAAGUAAUGUGUAGGAUAGGUGGGAGACUUUGAAGUGGCGUCGCUAGGCGUUGUGGAGUCAUUGUUGAAAUACCACCCUUUGCUUAUCUAGAGUCUAACUUUCCUUGAAAGGACAGUGCUUGGUGGGUAGUUUGACUGGGGUGGUCGCCUCCAAAAGAGUAACGGAGGCUUCUAAAGGUGCCCUCAGCACGCUUGGUAACCGUGCGUAGAGUGCAAUGGCAUAAGGGCGCUUGACUGAGAGACAUACAGGUCGAUCAGGUACGAAAGUAGAGCAUAGUGAUCCGGUGGUUCCGUAUGGAAGGGCCAUCGCUCAAAGGAUAAAAGGUACGCCGGGGAUAACAGGCUGAUCUCCCCCAAGAGCUCACAUCGACGGGGGGGUUUGGCACCUCGAUGUCGGCUCGUCACAUCCUGGGGCUGGAGAAGGUCCCAAGGGUUGGGCUGUUCGCCCAUUAAAGUGGCACGCGAGCUGGGUUCAGAACGUCGUGAGACAGUUCGGUCUCUAUCUACAGUGGGCGUUAGAAAUUUGAGUGGAUCUGUUCCUAGUACGAGAGGACCGGAAUGGACUAACCUCUGGUGUACCAGUUGUUCCGCCAGGAGCAUUGCUGGGUAGCUACGUUGGGAAGGGAUAAGCGCUGAAAGCAUAUAAGCGCGAAACCCACCACAAGAUGAGAUUUCUUUAAAGGAUCGUGGGAGAUUACCACGUUGAUAGGCUAUAGGUGUAAAGGCAGUAAUGUCAUAGCCGAGUAGUACUAAUAAUCCAUAGGCUUAUUG
This 2117-nucleotide ribosomal RNA is filed under the name seawater metagenome. RNAcentral describes it as "bacterial LSU rRNA". It matches the Rfam family "Bacterial large subunit ribosomal RNA", at positions 711 to 2925 of the family's 2925-position model. The record is from RNAcentral.